This 253-nucleotide ribosomal RNA is filed under the name uncultured bacterium. RNAcentral's name for it is "partial 16S ribosomal RNA". It matches the Rfam family "Bacterial small subunit ribosomal RNA", at positions 524 to 776 of the family's 1533-position model. The record is from RNAcentral.
UACGUAGGGUGCAAGCGUUGCCCGGAUUUAUUGGGCGUAAAGGGCGCGUAGGCGGCUCUGCACGUUCGUUGUGAAAUCGCCCGGCUCAACUGGGCGGGGUCAGCGGAUACGGCAGAGCUUGAGCAAGCUAGGGGGCAAUGGAAUUCCCGGUGUAGUGGUGGAAUGCGUAGAUAUCGGGAGGAACACCGGUGGCGAAGGCGGGACUCUGGGCCGAUACUGACGCUGAGGAGCGAAAGCGUGGGGAGCAAACAGG